This 463-nucleotide ribosomal RNA is filed under the name uncultured Pseudomonadaceae bacterium. Its description in RNAcentral is "bacterial SSU rRNA". It matches the Rfam family "Bacterial small subunit ribosomal RNA", at positions 920 to 1382 of the family's 1533-position model. Lineage: Bacteria; Pseudomonadati; Pseudomonadota; Gammaproteobacteria; Pseudomonadales; Pseudomonadaceae. The record is from RNAcentral.
CCCGGCACAAGCGGUGGAGCAUGUGGUUAAUUCGAAGCAACGCGAAGAACCUUACUUGGCCUUGACAUGCUGAGAACUUUCCAGAGAUGGAUUGGUGCCUUCGGGAACUCAGACACAGGUGCUGCAUGGCUGUCGUCAGCUCGUGUCGUGAGAUGUUGGGUUAAGUCCCGUAACGAGCGCAACCCUUGUCCUUAGUUACCAGCACGUAAUGGUGGGCACUCUAAGGAGACUGCCGGUGACAAACCGGAGGAAGGUGGGGAUGACGUCAAGUCCUCAUGGCCCUUAUGGGUAGGGCUUCACACGUCAUACAAUGGUCGGUACAGAGGGUUGCCAACCCGCGAGGGGGAGCUAAUCCCACAAAGCCGAUCGUAGUCCGGAUCGCAGUCUGCAACUCGACUGCGUGAAGUCGGAAUCGCUAGUAAUCGUGGAUCAGCAUGUCACGGUGAAUACGUUCCCGGGUCUU